Molecule: small nuclear RNA, 104 nt
Organism: Perognathus longimembris pacificus (Pacific pocket mouse)
Lineage: Eukaryota; Metazoa; Chordata; Mammalia; Rodentia; Heteromyidae
Source: RefSeq, a predicted model, not a curated record
GUGCUCACUUUGGGAGCAUAUAUUCUAAAGUUGGAAUGAUACACAGAUUAGUAUUGCCCCUGAGCAAGGGUGACAUGAAUAUGUCUGUCUGUCUGUCUAUAUGA